Molecule: ribosomal RNA, 431 nt
Filed under: uncultured bacterium
Lineage: Bacteria
Description: partial 16S ribosomal RNA
Rfam family: Bacterial small subunit ribosomal RNA
Source: RNAcentral
AACGAACGCUGGCGGCAGGCUUAACACAUGCUAGUCGAGCGCCCCGCAAGGGGAGCGGCAGACGGGUGAGUAACGCGUGGGAACGUACCUUUUGGUUCGGAACAACUCCGGGAAACUGGAGCUAAUACCGGAUAAGCCCUAACGGGGAAAGAUUUAUCGCCGAAAGAUCGGCCCGCGUCUGAUUAGCUAGUUGGUGAGGUAACGGCUCACCAAGGCGACGAUCAGUAGCUGGUCUGAGAGGAUGAUCAGCCACACUGGGACUGAGACACGGCCCAGACUCCUACGGGAGGCAGCAGUGGGGAAUAUUGGACAAUGGGCGCAAGCCUGAUCCAGCCAUGCCGCGUGAGUGAUGAAGGCCUUAGGGUUGUAAAGCUCUUUUGUCCGGGAAGAUAAUGACUGUACCGGAAGAAUAAGCCCCGGCUAACUUCGUG